UCUUCCGCUCAAAAGAACUGUGCUAAAAUUGCAGAUUCCAGGUUCUCCUGGUUUAUGCAAUAAUGCUAGCAGAGUAUCACGUGGAAGAAGAGCAAUAGCCCUGCACCGGAAAUGAAACAGAGUCGGACCUCUUUCUUAAUGUCCAGUGGCUUAUGUUUCAAGGUCCAGAGCAACAUCA
Small nucleolar RNA from Carassius auratus (goldfish), 178 nucleotides. Ensembl annotates it as small nucleolar RNA SNORA81. NCBI's taxonomy places the organism in Eukaryota, Metazoa, Chordata, Actinopteri, Cypriniformes, Cyprinidae. The record is from Ensembl.